RNAcentral lists this long non-coding RNA (1956 nucleotides) under Mytilus galloprovincialis (Mediterranean mussel). The record is from RNAcentral. Lineage: Eukaryota; Metazoa; Mollusca; Bivalvia; Mytilida; Mytilidae.
GGAAUCUGUUAGUCACAUUUAGUGCUACUUUAGAAAUCUCUGCUUAGUUGGAUUACUUUAUUACCAUUUAUUUUUUAUCUACAUAAAAUAAAAACAGAUAUUCCUAUUUAGCUUUUCUAAAAAUCUGUGCUAUUAAUUGACAUAACAGAAAAUUAAAUGACUUUACGGGACAUGUAAAAUAUUGCCCCUUUAUAUAUCAUUGACCCAGUGCAGAAUUGUUUCCCUUGAGCUAAAAAAUAAAUCAUAAAAACUGUACUCAUUUGUAUUCUAAAAUUUUGGUAAUUUUGGAGUCUAGUCAUUUGUGUUUGGUGAUCUGAUAAUAUAAAAAUUUUGUAAAAUAAUAAUAAGAGCACUGGCUAGUUUUAUUAUUACAUUGAAUUCCAUUUCAGCAGAAGAAACCUGUCAUUCUGUAAAAUAUUAACAUGUUAUUUAGAAAAGGUUAUUUUGUCUGAUUCAGAUUGGAAAUAACUGAUAUAAAACAUAUCAAUAAUAUUAAUAUUAAUAUUAAAAUGGAGUCUAAUCUAUGCCAUUUAGUCUCUAGUGGAGAGUUGUCACAUUGCUAAUCGUACCACACCUUCCUAUUUUUAUGUAUUGUAUGAGUUAUCUCCACGAUCAUAUUGGUUAAUGUCACAAACAUAGGAUAUUCUACAGGUUUUUACUCUUUGCUGAAUGUUGAAUGACUGCAAACAAGGCAUAAGUUUAAAUAUGAAAGAAAGUUGGGUAUACAUCUGUGAGACAAAACCCAACAACACCAUAUAUCAAUAACAACAAAAAGAAGACUUAUAGGUCAACAUACUGGUUUCACUAAUAAUAAGAGUCUAUAUCACUUUUUGGUCCUUAACAUGCAUGAAAUAUAUGGCACUGGACAUAAAGAAAACAUGAACAAAAUAAAAUUAAAUAACAGUAAAAUGUAUAUUCUCAAUUCAAUGAAAGUUUUAAAGUGCUUAUUAGAUAUUAUGCAUUAUUGAAAUUUUCUUAUGAUUAAUUUUCUUUUUAGUUUUUUUUUUUGUGGGGGGGGGGGGGGGGGAUUUCUUAGAGUUUUGCCAUUUAAGAUUUUUCAAAAACUCAAAAAGACCAAUUUCUAUUUUCCAAAGGAUUCAUUUUAUAUGAAAUGAUAAUUUUCCACUUAGUACCAAAUUGUAAAAGAGUUUUCUGCUUAUCCCAAAAACCCCAAAAAGGAGAAGAGAAUUUAGAUUAAAAUAAUGAAUCAUACUAAGUCUAGCUUACUCUAAGUUAAAGUUACAUGUGAUUUAAGAGCAUAAUAGAUAUUUACAAAGAAGAUGUUAAUUUUGAUGAUAAUGACCAAAUGCAUGUUCUUUUAAUAUAUAUCUCUCUAUCUUCUUAUCUUAGCUAAUCUUUUUAUAUAUUUGUAUAUUUAGUACUUUAUGUAUAUAGUACAUCUGCAUAUAUUCUGUUAUAUAUCUGUAUAUCAGCACCUGUUAUAUGUGUCAAAUAUCAUAGCUCUAUAUAGAAGGGUCUGGAUGGGGUUUACAGAAUUGGAAAUAACGGGCCAAAUUUACAGAAAAUGGACCAUAAGAUAAAGAAAAGAGAAAAACAGGGCAAAAGAUAAGAAAACAGAAUAAUGGGUGGCUAAGAUAUAAAGAAUACAGAAUUAUCAUUAAAUGGGCUAAAACAUGUGAUGAAUAUAGAAUGAAUACAUAAAAAUUAAAGGUUACAGAAUUUAAGGAUUUACCAUCCAGACCCAAAUAUAGUGUAGCUGCUUAGCUUAUUAUAUUAUAUAUAUUGUUUUUCUAGAUUCGUUUCACCAUUUGAAAAAUGCUAGUAUGGCUUCACACUGCUUUAUAUCUGUAUUUUUACCUGUUUAUGUAUUCUGGAUCACCAAUUCAUAUUUGUUAUAAUUGUUUGCUGAUAUCAUAAGACAAGACAUAGACACUUUUUUCUGACAUAAUGUUAUGUAGUUUCUUAAAUAAUAAAUUUUUAAUUCAUAAACUAUAA